RNAcentral lists this ribosomal RNA (495 nucleotides) under uncultured bacterium. Its description in RNAcentral is "partial 16S ribosomal RNA". It matches the Rfam family "Bacterial small subunit ribosomal RNA", at positions 28 to 507 of the family's 1533-position model. The record is from RNAcentral.
GACGAACGCUGGCGGCGUGCCUAAUACAUGCAAGUAGAACGCUGAAGGAGGAGCUUGCUUCUCUGGAUGAGUUGCGAACGGGUGAGUAACGCGUAGGUAACCUGCCUGGUAGCGGGGGAUAACUAUUGGAAACGAUAGCUAAUACCGCAUAAGAGUAGAUGUUGCAUGACAUUUGCUUAAAAGGUGCAAUUGCAUCACUACCAGAUGGACCUGCGUUGUAUUAGCUAGUUGGUGAGGUAACGGCUCACCAAGGCAACGAUACAUAGCCGACCUGAGAGGGUGAUCGGCCACACUGGGACUGAGACACGGCCCAGACUCCUACGGGAGGCAGCAGUAGGGAAUCUUCGGCAAUGGACGGAAGUCUGGCCGAGCAACGCCGCGUGAGUGAAGAAGGUUUUCGGAUCGUAAAGCUCUGUUGUAAGAGAAGAACGAGUGUGAGAGUGGAAAGUUCACACUGUGACGGUAUCUUACCAGAAAGGGACGGCUAACUACGUG